This 2105-nucleotide long non-coding RNA is filed under the name Olea europaea subsp. europaea. The record is from RNAcentral. Lineage: Eukaryota; Viridiplantae; Streptophyta; Magnoliopsida; Lamiales; Oleaceae.
AUCAAAUCUCUCCUACCCUAACCCUCAAAGCUUCUAUUUGUGCAUUCAAGCUGUGUCUACUUCUGCUCUACAUCUUCUAUUUUAGGUGGCCAGCCAAAAUUGAAGUAUGACGCCAUGUUUGAGCAUGUGGAUUUUAAAAGAAGAGCAAAACAUUCACUACUGGAGAUGUUUUUAAGAAUUGUAUCCUUAAAAUGGAGGAAAGGCAGAGAGUCAAGAGACAUGUUUUUUCUCUAGACUCUGAGACUUCAAUCGGCAAUAAUCUUCAUUCUUCACCAAAAGAAUUAUCUCUAUACCCUAUACGACGAUUCAUAUUUCCCAUUAAUCUCUUGCCGAAAAUCUGAAGUACUCAUUCAUUUUUUCGUCAAUCUUUUUUCGAGACUUGAAUUAAAUUUGCUAGGUUUUAAAAGUGGCCAAGCAGGCUAUCGACCUGAACGUGGGGAUUGAGGAAGCACAGGUAAAUUUUUCGCCGAAGAAGUUAAAGGCAAAAUCAUAUUCUGUUGUCCGUUGAGGUAAUUUUGGCUUCAUCUCUUUCCUGUAUAGCAGUUUUUAGAACUUGAAUAAUUGAUUUAAUUGCUUCACGACUCACAUAUUCCUUAUUGGAUCCUGUAAAUGGCAAGAUUUGUUUAUUCUGUUUAUUUAUCUGAUUUUUUCUUAUUAAUUAAUUGCUUUAGAUGGAGAUUGCUAUUCCAUAGGCACUAUGCAAAAAAGUACAGAAUAAUGUAGUGAUCAAUGAUCAUAUAUAAUAUUCUUUGCACCUAAAUACUUAUUUAUCAUUUACAGGAUCCAAUAAUUUUAUUAUAAUGUACAUUUUAAAUCUCAGAGUUAGCCGAAGAUCUUAAGUUUUUAUACUCAUUGGGUUUGGCUUAUUCUAUAGGACUUGAUCUAUUGUUUUCUUUUCAAUAUCAAUUUAAUCUCAAUUCUCUAGUGACUAAUAUCUAUAUGAAGCCAUAAUUUUACCCAAAUCCUUUAUCGCUUAUCAAAAACUGCAAUCAUAUAGUUAGCAUCUUCCACUAAAAUGAAUUCAAAUGGAUAUAGAGUUGUCCUUGGGAAGCUUAAUUUUCUUAAUUUAUUUAUAGUAAAAUAAAGUUACAUUGACAUGUAUGCAUAAAAAUAUUUAUCUUGUUGUUAUAAAGCUAUUUGUUCAUACGAAUGUAACUAUUUGUAAAUAUCCUCCAGAGGAUGACGUUUGUUUUGCAUAAUUAGUUAAUCAAUUAAUUAACAAGUCAAUUGUUUUUCCUUUCUGAUAUGGUCUAUUGACUAUGGCAGGUCGUGAGAGAACUAUACGAGAUUGUUCCAACUCGCAAAUGGAGAGACGGAGAAAACAGAAUCAACAAAAUAGAUUUUAUAGGUAUGCAUUCGUAACGGCUUAUGCAAUUUCCAAAUUUUAAAUGAAUGCCAAACUUUAGAUAGGUGUUUCUUGUGUGCAGGUGGAUUGUUAAUGAAGAGCUAUCAACCUGGUCAUAUGAUAAAAAAGGAAAGAGUAAACUAUUAUAUUGGUUGUAAUCUUAUUUUUUUCCCUCUUUACUGGGUUUAAGCAAUCAUGGAUAAAAUUAAAAAAAAAAUGAAAGAUUAAACUAUUACAUUGGUUGUUCUUAUUUACUUUCCCCCAAAAUCGACAACAUUUUUCUUAUAAAAUUGUGCUAUUAGUUUAUCUCGAUUUACAUUUGAUCUGGUCUUUGUUUUAUUUUUUUUGAUUUUCUUGGUUGUGAAAGUGCUUGUUAUGAUAUGCUGAUCUCUUAUUGCUUGCCUGUGGAUUUUGUUUGUGUAUAGCAUAACAUUAUGACAAGGAAGAUGCUUUUUAUGGAAAGCUAGGCAUUGCUAGUGAGUAGGAGAUUCACAAGGACUUUGAUUUGUUUGUGAUUGGAGCUGGCAGUGGUGAAGUUCGUUCCUCAUAAUUUCCUAGUCUAUAGCUCAUUUUUCGUUUAGUUUAUGCACCAUUUGUACUAAAAGUCUAGGAUACAUUUGUAACUAAGAUAUUAAGGUGCAUGACACAUUUUGUGGUUAAAUAUAGGAUAUUUAAAUUUAUGUAAUGACUAUUAAUAAUUAUUUUAUGGGCAAUUACAAUUACCUUUCGUACUCGGUAUUGUAUAUUGUGAAUUUGUUUA